This 383-nucleotide ribosomal RNA is filed under the name Askenasia sp. RNAcentral's name for it is "partial small subunit ribosomal RNA". It matches the Rfam family "Eukaryotic small subunit ribosomal RNA", at positions 582 to 975 of the family's 1831-position model. Lineage: Eukaryota; Ciliophora; Litostomatea; Cyclotrichida; Mesodiniidae. The record is from RNAcentral.
AUUCCAGCUCCAAUAGCGUAUAUUAAAGUUGUUGCGGUUAAAAAGCUCGUAGUUGGAGUUCUGCCAGGUGGCACUCGUCCGCCCAAGUGGUGUGUACAGGGCGUGCAUCUGGCCCUUUCAAGGGGAACGUGUCUGCACUUCAUUGUGUGGUGCGAGAUCCUUGACUUUUACUUUGAGGAAAUUAGAGUGUUCAAGGCAGGCUAUAGCCCUGAAUACACAAGCAUGGAAUAAUGAAAUAGGACUGGUUCCAUUUUAUUGGUUAUUGGACUAGUAAUGAUUAACAGGGACAGUUGGGGCAUUAGUAUUUAAUUGUCAGAGGUGAAAUUCUUGGAUCUAUUAAAGACUAACUUAUGCGAAAGCAUUUGCCAAGGAUGUUUUCAUCA